Long non-coding RNA from Condylura cristata (star-nosed mole), 2284 nucleotides. RefSeq lists it as uncharacterized. The transcript is spliced from 3 exons. Lineage: Eukaryota; Metazoa; Chordata; Mammalia; Eulipotyphla; Talpidae. The record is from RefSeq and is a predicted model, not a curated record.
AAACUGCCCUUGACCUCGUUGAACAAUCUCCUCUCACCCCCCACCCCCUCCCCCACCCUGCUGGUCUGCAGACUGCAUGAGGGCGGGGCUGUGUCCUGGUCACGUGUGUCUCUCCUGUAUCAAAGGUAUUAGCAGAUGUGUUCUCAUUGCCUGCCAUCCAUGACCUCAGCCUUCAGCCUGUGUGUAAGUACCUCCCUGAGCGAGCACAUGCUCCCCUCCGCUGCCCCAGCCACCCUGCAGCCUGACUCCCCAAAGGCCCCACUUGCCAGAGGCAGUGACAUUUCCCCAUUCUCACUGACCCUUGCCUCCUUGCUCCGCUGGGCAUCAAACCGUGUCACCAGGGCCUCCCAGGGGCCUUCCCUCUCCCCACCCACCCGGGGCCACCCAACUUGUCAGCCACACCAAGCUUCUGAAUCUAAAUGCCACACUGGUGAGACACGUCACUUGUCCCUAGCUAUCAGGCGCUGUUCCGGUCAGAUGAUGGGGCUGUGUGCCAGGUUGCACGCACUGUGUUUUUCUGCAUAGGUGUUCUUCUGACCGCGUCCAGCUGGGUGCAGGACCGGAGGCGGCAAUCAGCAAGUGACUAUUGAUUGACUGAUUUUAACAGGUCUGCAUCCCCCGAUCGUGUUGAGAAGUGAGUCGUGGUCCUGUGUCAGAGCUGUGGGUUAAUCCCCAGGCAGGUGUGGCUAUCUCAGCAGUCAGCGGGCUCACAGGUUGCUUUAUCUUAUCAUUCUGCUUUGAAUCUCACGUCGCUCUGGUGGGGAAUAUUUGCCCUGUCAUUGAAGUUAUCUGAUCAGUCAUUUGUUUAAUUCAUUGUCAGUCAUGUCAACAGAGUUUCUAAUUGGCAAAAAAAAAAAAGCAGACCUCGCGUUCUGGACCCUGGCCUUGCAGGAUGAUGUGCCGUGGCUGCAUCCUGCAAACUUUCCUUGACGUGCCGAAUUUCAGUAGCAUAACUUGAGGGCUGUGGAGGACUCAUCAAGUCAUUGCAAAACCAACAGGAUAGUUUGUGAGUUCUCCUGUCUUUUCCAGGUUUCAAAGCUUCCAUUGGCUCUCCCAUUGAAAUACUCAACUGCCUGUCACUAGACACAGAUGUGCAUUUCUUUGCAGUCAGUCAGUGUUGUAUCUUUGAUAAGUGAGGGCUGCACUUCUCUGGAGUCCAUGCUGUUCUGUCCCCUUCUUUCCAGACAUAGAACAAAGCAAACAACAGCCUCGCUGCUUCGGACAUGUGCUGGGAAUGGGUGCUUUUCCAUGGUGAGGGCUAAGUUUGGGGGUCUCAAAGGAGAUAGUUGGCCAAGCCUGUGUGGAGUAACAAGUGUUACUAAGGCCUGAACCUGCCCUUCCAGACUGGUUAGCAUCUCGCUGAACCCAUUUGACACCAUCACCCACAAACACGACUGGACAAGUGAUUCACCCCACACUCACAGCGAGGCUUACAGGCUGUGAUGUGAGAAGACUCAGAGGAAGAAACUGAAGUUCAGUGAAUUUAUUAAGCAGAGAGCGGGCACUAGAUGGAUGGUCCGGCCAGGAUUAGAACCCAAUUUUCUCUAUCCCGGGAUGAUAACGCCUCUCCUACACCCACCCCCCAAAAAAGUGGGUAAGUUUUAGGUUAAAAGAGACCAAAGAGUUUUGGUGAAUAAGACUCAGUGGAUAAGUGUGAAUAGAAGAUUUGAGUAUGAAGCAAACCAAAAAGAACUUGUUAUUCUUUGGAGAAAGUGGGAAAGAGCUGACUUUGAAUUGAAAAAUUGAUGACAGUAAGGGAUUGUUCAUUUUCUUUGCAAUCCGGAGUGUGCUGUCCUGCUACACGGGAGUGGCCUUAUUUUUUAGGAUGACCUCAAAUGCCCGAAUUAGGAGCAGAAUGUUGGCAUUCGCUGUCAGCUUACUUUCAGUUGAUUCACCAAAACACACAUGUAGCUUGGGUUUUGACCAUGGAGCUGAAGCAAACAGAGUGAAAAUGAGUAAGUGUUGAAGAUAGGAAUUAGGCAUUCAUUCCCUUAAUUCAAAUUUAACAUAUGUUUGACAUUUUUCAUAACUUUAAAAAAAACACCCCUCCCCUUUGGUGUCCUAAGUAAGUGACUUCUGGAACCCCAGAGCACAGAGGGAGUGACAGCAGCCUGCCUGGCAGGACAGUACUGAGGGUCAAGGCGGAAGGAGCAGAGACCUGUGGAGAUGCAGCUUGUCGGAGACCACUGAGCACGAGUGUCCUGUGCCUUUGGAGGAAGGGGGAGAUUCUUUUUCUUUUUUUUUAAAUAAUAGCUUAUUUUUACAUCAUUUUGUGCCUUUCUCC